Molecule: ribosomal RNA, 259 nt
Filed under: uncultured bacterium
Lineage: Bacteria
Description: partial 16S ribosomal RNA
Rfam family: Bacterial small subunit ribosomal RNA
Source: RNAcentral
UACGUAGGGUGCGAGCGUUGUCCGGAAUUACUGGGCGUAAAGAGUUCGUAGGCGGUUUGUCGCGUCCGUUGUGAAAGCUUGGGGCUCAACCCCAAGGUCUGCCAGUGGAUACGGGCAGACGUAGAGUCAGGUAGGGGAGAACGGAAUUCCUGGUGUAGCGGUGAAAUGACGCAGAUAUCAGGAGGAACACCGGUGGCGAAGGCGGUUCUCUGGGCCUGUACUGACGCUGGAGGAGCGAAAGCCGUGGGGAGCGAACAGG